This is a non-coding RNA of Mycena latifolia, 89 nucleotides long. The record is from the annotation of a GenBank genome assembly. Lineage: Eukaryota; Fungi; Basidiomycota; Agaricomycetes; Agaricales; Mycenaceae.
GACUCGGUGGCGUAGCGGUAGCACAUUCCAAAUUUCUAUAUAGGUGUUUCGUUCACGGAGGGUAUGGAGUUCAAUUCUCCGUCGAGCCA